This 253-nucleotide ribosomal RNA is filed under the name uncultured bacterium. RNAcentral describes it as "partial 16S ribosomal RNA". It matches the Rfam family "Bacterial small subunit ribosomal RNA", at positions 524 to 776 of the family's 1533-position model. The record is from RNAcentral.
UACGUAGGGGGCGAGCGUUGUCCGGAGUUACUGGGCGUAAAGGGCGCGCAGGCGGUCUGGUAAGUUUGGAGUGACAGUGCUCGGCUUAACUGAGCAAGGCCUUCGAAAACUGUCAGACUUGAGCACUCAAGAGGGACAUAGAAUUCCGGGUGGAGUGGUGAAAUGCGUAGAUAUCCGGAGGAAUACCAAAGGCGAAGGCAGUGUCCUGGGGAGUGUCUGACGCUCAGGCGCGAAAGCUAGGGGAGCAAACGGG